GAUGGGUGUGAAUCUAGUGGUUC
This 23-nucleotide microRNA is filed under the name Culex quinquefasciatus (southern house mosquito). The record is from RNAcentral. Lineage: Eukaryota; Metazoa; Arthropoda; Insecta; Diptera; Culicidae.